GACCGUGUAGAUUAUUUUUUAAAUCCUGAGGCUGUUAACCUUGAGAAGAGUCCCUGGAGAUUCUGCGGUC
RNAcentral lists this transfer RNA (70 nucleotides) under Paragonimus westermani. Its description in RNAcentral is "tRNA-Asn". Lineage: Eukaryota; Metazoa; Platyhelminthes; Trematoda; Plagiorchiida; Troglotrematidae. The record is from RNAcentral.